CACCAUCCAGUGCAAGGUGGCAGCAGCCCUCGACUUCAGGAGGGCGGACUCUAAUGAGGCAUCUAUCCUCAGAAAAGGACUCUUCAAGCUGUGGAGCCCAAGUGAACAACAGCACCUAACUCCGGACAAAAGGACUGCUGUCUCUACCCGAACCAUGAUCCACAUUCUUCUCACCUAGACAGUUCAAGCUUUCACUCCUCAAGCUUCACAUCCAAUAUCCUUGCCUAAGCAGUCUUGUCUUCCCAACAUUUUCCCUGUCCUAGCCCUGCUCACUCACAAUCCUUUCCCCCCCUCGCCCAACUCCCAUUCUCCUUGUCCAAUUUCUGCCUUCCAUCUCUACAUCAGAUCUUGCUCCCUCUAUCCUGGUCUUCAGUCACUCCUGUGCUCAUACUCUCUGUCCUUACUAGACCCAGUCUCUCUCCUAGAUAUUCAUCCCUCUGCUUCAAAAUCUUAGUCUCUCCUACUGCAACUCCUAGUUUCCCUUUCAGCCCCACUAGCCUCCCCCUUCCCAGGAACCUCAUACAAGAAGGAAGACAAGCCUGCAUACGUGCUAAAUGGGGGGACAUCUAGUCUGUAGAUCUCAGUGGGAUUUGGGCUUACUCCUUUUCUCCUGGUUCCAGUACCCUGAUCCCUGCAAUUGCAGGGAAAAUCCUCCUCGGUCCCAGGCUGGAGCACGUUCUGUGUGUAGCAUCUCCAAAUAGAUUUUAGCUGCAAAGGUUUAUCAACUCUCUGCUGCUUCUGAAGCUUUUGCGAAGGCUUUAGGCAAAUUGAGUAUAUUUUCAUAGUGGGAAGAUGGUCAGUGAGUGAGGGGUGGCGUGAAAAAGGUGGCUGCAAACAGAAAAUGGUGGGAAGCCCUGGCAUCCUGAAGCAUGGGGGCCCAGGGCAGGGGGUGGAGGGAAGGGAGGAAGUGAGA
This is a long non-coding RNA of Alligator sinensis (Chinese alligator), 913 nucleotides long. RefSeq lists it as uncharacterized. The transcript has 3 exons. The record is from RefSeq and is a predicted model, not a curated record. Lineage: Eukaryota; Metazoa; Chordata; Crocodylia; Alligatoridae.